Molecule: unclassified non-coding RNA, 417 nt
Filed under: Hevea brasiliensis (rubber tree)
Lineage: Eukaryota; Viridiplantae; Streptophyta; Magnoliopsida; Malpighiales; Euphorbiaceae
Source: RNAcentral
CGGAACCCGAUCUGGAAAAUGCUGAGCGGCACGACAUCAUGCUCGGCGGAGGGAUGAUGGGCGGCAUGAUUUCAGCGAUAAUGGACGGUCAGCGCACCAACAUGCGAACGCUCAUGCACAACGGUCUCUUAUGGUCGAUCAAUGGCGUUGCCGCCAAAGGGCACAUCCUUGAUCCAUUCCUCACACUGAAGCGAAACCAAUCCUGUCGACUGACCCUCAUCAACGAUACGGCCUGGCACCAUCCGAUGCAUUUGCAUGGCCACGUUUUUCGGGUGAUCGCGCGCAACGGUCAGCCGACACGCCGCAGCGAAUGGCAGGACACGGUGAUGAUGGACCCGCGCGANNNNNNNNNNNUCGCGUUCGUUGCAGACAAUCCAGGCGACUGGAUGUUCCAUUGCCAUAUCCUGGAGCAUCAGG